UAAUUUAUAUUUUAAUUAAGAUUAUUAGAAAUUUAUUUUUUAGUUAUGAUUGGGGUGAUUUUUAAAGAUUAAUAAUCUUUAAAAUUUUUUAAUAAAAAAGUUCCAUGUAGUAGUGAUUUUUUGAUAAAAAUACUCUAGGGAUAACAGCGUUAUUAUUUUGGAUAGUUCAUAUAGAUAAAAUAGUUUGCGACCUCGAUGUUGGAUUAGGAUUCUUUUAUGAUGAAGAAGUUAUAAGGGAGAAGUUUGCUCAACUUUUAAAGUCCUACUUGAUCUGAGUUCAGCCCGGG
RNAcentral lists this ribosomal RNA (287 nucleotides) under Ornithodoros coriaceus. Its description in RNAcentral is "partial 16S ribosomal RNA". The stretch from base 140 to 287 matches the Rfam family "Bacterial large subunit ribosomal RNA", at positions 2473 to 2620 of the family's 2925-position model. Lineage: Eukaryota; Metazoa; Arthropoda; Arachnida; Ixodida; Argasidae. The record is from RNAcentral.